CUGGGGAUAAAACUCAGUUGGUAUAGUACUUGCUUUACAUGCACAAGGCUCUGGGUUCAAUCCCCAGCACCAGG
Molecule: transfer RNA, 74 nt
Filed under: Marmota monax (woodchuck)
Lineage: Eukaryota; Metazoa; Chordata; Mammalia; Rodentia; Sciuridae
Description: tRNA.Val
Source: RNAcentral